RNAcentral lists this ribosomal RNA (922 nucleotides) under Alcaligenes aquatilis. RNAcentral describes it as "partial 16S ribosomal RNA". It matches the Rfam family "Bacterial small subunit ribosomal RNA", at positions 123 to 1032 of the family's 1533-position model. The record is from RNAcentral. Lineage: Bacteria; Pseudomonadati; Pseudomonadota; Betaproteobacteria; Burkholderiales; Alcaligenaceae.
AACGUGCCCAGUAGCGGGGGAUAACUACUCGAAAGAGUGGCUAAUACCGCAUACGCCCUACGGGGGAAGGGGGGGGAUUCUUCGGAACCUCUCACUAUUGGAGCGGCCGAUAUCGGAUUAGCUAGUUGGGGGGGUAAAGGCUCACCAAGGCAACGAUCCGUAGCUGGUUUGAGAGGACCACCAGCCACACUGGGACUGAGACACGGCCCACACUCCUACGGGAGGCAGCAGUGGGGAAUUUUGGACAAUGGGGGAAACCCUGAUCCACCCCUCCCGCGUGUAUGAUGAAGGCCUUCGGGUUGUAAAGUAUUUUUGGCAGAGAAAAAAAGGUAUCUCCUAAUACGAGAUACUGCUGACGGUAUCUGCAAAAUAAGCACCGGCUAACUACGUGCCAGCAGCCGCGGUAAUACGUAGGGUGCAAGCGUUAAUCGGAAUUACUGGGCGUAAAGCGUGUGUAGGCGGUUCGGAAAGAAAGAUGUGAAAUCCCGGGGCUCAACCUUGGAACUGUAUUUUUAACUGCCGAGCUAGAGUAUGUCAGAGGGGGGUAGAAUUCCACGUGUAGCAGUGAAGUGCGUAUAUAUGUGGAGGAAUACCGAUGGCGAAGGCCGCCCCCUGGGAUAAUACUGACGCUCACACACGAAAGCGUGGGGAGCAAACAGGAUUAUAUACCCUGGUAGUCCACGCCCUAAACGAUGUCAACUAGCUGGUGGGGCCGUUAGGUCUUAAUAGCGCAGCUAACGCGUGAAGUUGACCGCCUGGGGGAGUACGGUCGCAAGAUUAAAUCUCAAAGGAAUUGACGGGGACCCCGCACAGCGGGUGGGAUGAUGUGGAUUUAUUUCGAUGCAACGCGAAAAACCUUUACCCUACCCCUUGACAUGUCUGGAAUGCCAAAAGAGAUUUUGGCCAGCGCCUCGCAAGAAAA